UACGUAGGGUGCAAGCGUUGUCCGGAAUUAUUGGGCGUAAAGAGCUCGUAGGCGGUUUGUCGCGUCGGCUGUGGAAACCCGGGGCUCAACCCCGGGCCUGCAGUCGAUACGGGCAAACUAGAGUGCGGUAGGGGAGACUGGAAUUCCUGGUGUAGCGGUGAAAUGCGCAGAUAUCAGGAAGAACACCCGUGGCGAAGGCGGCUCUCUGGGACGGUACUGACGCUGAGACGCGAAAGCGUGGGGAGCGAACAGG
RNAcentral lists this ribosomal RNA (253 nucleotides) under uncultured bacterium. RNAcentral describes it as "partial 16S ribosomal RNA". It matches the Rfam family "Bacterial small subunit ribosomal RNA", at positions 524 to 776 of the family's 1533-position model. The record is from RNAcentral.